CAACUAGCAUACAUAUUUAUUCGAUGACAUCUAAAAAUUAAUUGUGCGAGCCUAUAAUAUAAUUUCCCUCCAAAAUGCAGUUUUGGAGCGAAAUGCAAUAAUAGUCAAGAUAGCAGAGAGUAGGCUCUUUCAACAAUGACACCAAACGGUGAUGAAGGUGGUCUUGGUCGCGCUGUUGGGCGGGUGUAAGGGACCAGCCCUGCCGAAAGCGCAGGUCUGUGUGGGUCUAGAGAUGGUUGAAGUCCCGAAAGCAUGGAGGGGAGUUCCACCGUCUAAUUCAAGAUCUUCAACUGUUUGGAGAAGAAUUUCGAAGUUACUUUCGAUGGUUGGAGCCAGGAUCGCCCGGAUGGAUACCAACUACUGGGAGUCCAUCAGCCCAGUUAAACGCCUGGCGAUUUGUCUCCGAGGUCAUUCCAGGAGCCGCUCUGGGUGGAGACGGGCACGCCAAAUGGUCACCUACCUGAUGUCACCAGGGCAUGUGCCAACAACACCCCCAGACAGGCACUCCAGGUGAGGGAGAAGCUGACCACCUACUUCAUCACCAGCAGGUGAAGUCCCAUGACAAUAUGCCGUGGAGUGAAACAGCUCUUUGAAGAACCCCCUAACACCAAGGUUAUUUUAAGAACCAUCCACCGCUGUCCAUGAAAUUGCAUUUUUCCCCCAGAUUACUUUAAGUCUCAUUGUUUCUCUUCAUUUGGAAGUUAUAUUUAAGUGAAAUUUGGGAGUAAAGACCACACCUUAACCCCUUCCCUCUCCCAUUAACAUCAGUAUUAUACACACCUGGCAUGGUACAUCAGAUGAGCAGGACCUCUAAGGUUAUACGACAUACAGUUAGUAUGAUAAUGGGAAAAGUUAACCUUGGGUCCAUACAAAUAGUACAGUUUACCAACAUAUUCACUGCUCUGACAAAAUGCAGGUGGAGAAAAAACUAAUUAGGAAGCAAAUGUGUUUUUACUUUAAUCUUGUGUUAGAUCUGCAAAAGGUGUAGGGAAGAAAUAAGCAGAUUAAGUCUAAAUGAGAUAUUAAUAAACAAAUUAAACUGACUAUGAAAACAUUAGAAUUUAAUAAGUAUUGAAGUCCAGGAAAGAACAUGACAGGUAUGUGUUGUAAAACUGUUACAAAAAAUAAAAACUAUUGAAAGAGUUGUGUGUGUGUGUGUGUGUGUGUGUGCGCAUGUAAAAAUACAACAAUUAAUGUGUAGCCUGUAAGAGAACAAAAAGAGCAGGUAUUUUUGGCACAGCUGCAGACAGAUACAGGGACUACUCAAAGCCUAGACGUAGUAAGGAACUUCAGACAUGGCCAUAAAGAGAGAAAGGGCAGGGCACUGGAGAUCUGAGGGACAGAGAGGAGUGGUGUGUGUCUGAAAAAAUGAAAAGUGAAUGUGCUGGUCGGCUAAAUUAACUCUCUCUGGAAG
Oncorhynchus tshawytscha (Chinook salmon) is the source of this 1414-nucleotide long non-coding RNA. Lineage: Eukaryota; Metazoa; Chordata; Actinopteri; Salmoniformes; Salmonidae. The record is from Ensembl.